GGAUAAACGCUGAAGGCAUCUAAGCGUGAAACCGACUCCAAGAUGAGAUUUCCCAUUCACUUGAUGAAGUAAGACCCCUCGAAGACUACGAGGUUGAUAGGUCAGAGAUGUACGCAUAGUGAUAUGUUAAGUUGACUGAUACUAAUAGGUCGAGGAUUUUAUCAUA
This 166-nucleotide ribosomal RNA is filed under the name Erysipelotrichaceae bacterium. RNAcentral's name for it is "partial 23S ribosomal RNA". It matches the Rfam family "Bacterial large subunit ribosomal RNA", at positions 2762 to 2925 of the family's 2925-position model. Lineage: Bacteria; Bacillati; Bacillota; Erysipelotrichia; Erysipelotrichales; Erysipelotrichaceae. The record is from RNAcentral.